Molecule: unclassified non-coding RNA, 300 nt
Filed under: uncultured fungus
Lineage: Eukaryota; Fungi
Description: sequence contains 5.8S rRNA gene, ITS2
Rfam family: 5.8S ribosomal RNA (bases 1-71)
Source: RNAcentral
GUGAAUCAUCGAAUCUUUGAACGCACCCUGCACCUUUUGGCUAUCCGGAAGGUCUGCCUGUUUGAGUAGAUGAAAUAAGCAUCAAGUGGCAAGCUGCCGUCGCACAGUAGCCAGCUUGGGAUUGAGCUUUCCAGUGUCUGCUACAUCCGUAGCAACCCUGGUAGCUUUAAAUGCAUGAAUCGGAACGAGUGUGCCUGAUGGCGCGAACGGUGUUUUAGUCGGGUCAGAGAUGACCGGUCAAGCACGCCAGUAGCGGCACUCUAAAGCGCGCUCGCGUCCGAACACUGGGGCAGUGGUUUG